GCGUGCUUAACACAUGCAAGUCGAACGGGAAACCUUUUAUUGAAGCUUCGGCAGAUCUAACUGGUUUCUAGUGGCGGACGGGUGAGUAACGCGUGGGUAACCUGCCUUGUACAGGGGGAUAACAGUCAGAAAUGACUGCUAAUACCGCAUAAGCGCACAGGACCGCAUGGUCCGGUGUGAAAAACUCCGGUGGUAUAAGAUGGACCCGCGUUGGAUUAGCUAGUUGGCAGGGUAACGGCCUACCAAGGCGACGAUCCAUAGCCGGCCUGAGAGGGUGGACGGCCACAUUGGGACUGAGACACGGCCCAGACUCCUACGGGAGGCAGCAGUGGGGAAUAUUGCACAAUGGGGGAAACCCUGAUGCAGCGACGCCGCGUGAGCGAAGAAGUAUUUCGGUAUGUAAAGCUCUAUCAGCAGGGAAGAAAAUGACGGUACCUGACUAAGAAGCCCCGGCUAACUACGUGCCAGCAGCCGCGGUAAUACGUAGGGGGCAAGCGUUAUCCGGAUUUACUGGGUGUAAAGGGAGCGUAGACGGAAUGGCAAGUCUGAUGUGAAAGGCCGGGGCUCAACCCCGGGACUGCAUUGGAAACUGCCAAUCUAGAGUACCGGAGGGGUAAGUGGAAUUCCUAGUGUAGCGGUGAAAUGCGUAGAUAUUAGGAGGAACACCAGUGGCGAAGGCGGCUUACUGGACGGUAACUGA
This 700-nucleotide ribosomal RNA is filed under the name uncultured bacterium. RNAcentral's name for it is "bacterial SSU rRNA". It matches the Rfam family "Bacterial small subunit ribosomal RNA", at positions 42 to 743 of the family's 1533-position model. The record is from RNAcentral.